This 253-nucleotide ribosomal RNA is filed under the name uncultured bacterium. Its description in RNAcentral is "partial 16S ribosomal RNA". It matches the Rfam family "Bacterial small subunit ribosomal RNA", at positions 524 to 776 of the family's 1533-position model. The record is from RNAcentral.
UACGUAUGGUGCAAGCGUUAUCCGGAUUUACUGGGUGUAAAGGGAGCGUAGGCGGCACGUUAAGUCUGAUGUGAAAACCCGAGGCUCAACCACGGGAGUGCAUUGGAAACUGGCGAGCUGGAGUGCCGGAGAGGUAAGCGGAAUUCCUAGUGUAGCGGUGAAAUGCGUAGAUAUUAGGAGGAACACCAGUGGCGAAGGCGGCUUACUGGACGGCAACUGACGCUGAGGCUCGAAAGCGUGGGGAGCAAACAGG